RNAcentral lists this ribosomal RNA (843 nucleotides) under Delftia acidovorans. RNAcentral's name for it is "bacterial SSU rRNA". It matches the Rfam family "Bacterial small subunit ribosomal RNA", at positions 531 to 1379 of the family's 1533-position model. The record is from RNAcentral. Lineage: Bacteria; Pseudomonadati; Pseudomonadota; Betaproteobacteria; Burkholderiales; Comamonadaceae.
GGGGGGGACGUAUCGGAUCUGGGCGUAAGCGCGCGCAGGCGGUCUAUGUAAGACAGAUGUGAAAUCCCCGGGCUCAACCUGGGAACUGCAUUUGUGACUGCAUGGCUAGAGUACUGUAGAGGGGGAUGGAAUUCCGCGUGUAGCAGUGAAAUGCGUAGAUAUGCGGAGGAACACCGAUGGCGAAGGCAAUCCCCUGGACCUGUACUGACGCUCAUGCGCGAAAGCGUGGGGAGCAAACAGGAUUAGAUACCCUGGUAGUCCACGCCCUAAACGAUGUCAACUGGUUGGUGGGAAUUAUUUUUCUCGGUUACCAAACUUACGCGUGAAGUUCACCGCCUGGGGAAUACCGGCCCCAGGGUGAAACUCCAAAGAAUUGACCGGGACCCCCCCAAACCGUGGAAGAUGGGGUUUAAUUCCAUGCCACCCGAAAAAACUUUCCCUGCUUUUACAUGCCACGAAAUUUCCCAAAAAGGAUUCGUGCUCUACAGAAAACCUGCAAACAGGUGCUGCAUGGCUGUCUUCACCUCGGGUCGUGAGAUGUUGGGUUAAUUCCCGCAACGAGCGCAACCCUUGUCAUUAGUUGCUACAUUUAGGUGGGCACUCUAAUGAGACUGCCCGUGACAAACCUGAAGAAAGUGGGGAUAACAUCCAAUCCUCCUGGCCCCUAUAGGACGGGCUACACACCUCAUACAAUGGCUGGUACAGAAGGUUGCCAACCCCCCAGGAGCAGCUAAUCCCCUAAAAACAGUCCUAAUCCCGAACUCAAUCUGCCACUCCACUGCCUUAAAUCCGAAUCCCCAGUAAUCCCGAAAUCACAAUGCCCGGUGAAUUACUUUCCCGGGC